UGCUAUCAAUCCCAUCUUAGCUGAUCGUUUCGUUGUUUCUGAUGAUAUUCUUCAGCAUAUGCGAAGAAGAAGACAGCUUAUGUGACAGAGCAGCAAACUGGUGUCAGUCAAGUCCAAGCUCACGAAUGGGAUAAGAUAUGAUCAAGGUCCACUAUCAAAUAGUAAAUGUUAUUAUCAAAGCUUCUACAAUUUGAGAUACAAUGAUCAUAUGAUGAGUAUGUAUGUAGUGCACCAAGGCUCUAACCAAGUUGCCAAGGAGAUGCCUCCGGUCGGUGGAAUGAACGACGACGACGACAUGGACUUGGGUGACGAUGCAUCGUUUCUGAAAGUCGGUGAGGAGAAGGAGAUCCAACAAGGCUUGAAGAAGAAGCUUAUUAAGGAAGGUGAAGGAUUCGAGACUCCUGAUAAAUUUAAGGCGAUGAAGUUGAAGGUAAACAUUUGAUUCCAUUUAAAAGCUGCUCCAGAUUUUGUCUAUGCUUGAUGGACGAUUCCAGCCGCGACAGACAGAGGAGGCACGCCUUUCAAAUUCACUCUAGCUAGGACAAGGUGACUAGUGCAUUGAAUCUCUUAUCUUUGAGGCCAUUGUUUAGCUUACUGUAACAUGGAGACUAGUUUGGAAGAUUUCAACUCGAAAACGAGUUCUCUGAAUUAUUGAGUUAAGAUGUAGUAAUUGUUGUUAAGCUCGAGUUCUCUGAAUGCUAUUGUUCAUAUGUGUCAUUGUUGGCUUAUUCUUCUUUUUCUCUUCCUGGCAUUGUGU
Molecule: long non-coding RNA, 757 nt
Organism: Brassica oleracea var. oleracea
Lineage: Eukaryota; Viridiplantae; Streptophyta; Magnoliopsida; Brassicales; Brassicaceae
Exons: 3
Source: RefSeq, a predicted model, not a curated record